RNAcentral lists this ribosomal RNA (253 nucleotides) under uncultured bacterium. Its description in RNAcentral is "partial 16S ribosomal RNA". It matches the Rfam family "Bacterial small subunit ribosomal RNA", at positions 524 to 776 of the family's 1533-position model. The record is from RNAcentral.
UACGGGGGGGGCAAGCGUUGUUCGGAAUUACUGGGCGUAAAGGGCUCGUAGGCGGCCAACUAAGUCAGACGUGAAAUCCCUCGGCUUAACCGGGGAACUGCGUCUGAUACUGGAUGGCUUGAGGUUGGGAGAGGGAUGCGGAAUUCCAGGUGUAGCGGUGAAAUGCGUAGAUAUUCGCAAGAACACCAGUGGCGAAGGCGGCUCACUGGCCCGAUACUGACGCUGAGGCACGGAAGCGUGGGGAGCAAACAGG